GGGCGAUUAGCUCAGUUGGUUAGAGUGCUGCUUUCACACGGCAGAGGUCACAGAUUCGAGUUCUGUAUCGCCCA
RNAcentral lists this transfer RNA (74 nucleotides) under Planctomycetales bacterium. RNAcentral describes it as "tRNA-Val". It matches the Rfam family "tRNA". From Rfam's summary of the family: Transfer RNA (tRNA) molecules are approximately 80 nucleotides in length. The record is from RNAcentral. Lineage: Bacteria; Pseudomonadati; Planctomycetota; Planctomycetia; Planctomycetales.